AAGACGGAUGAGACCUUGACAAGCAGGUAACUAGAAUGCUAACACGAGUUGAGGACUUCUGAAGCUUUUAGAGGAUGAACAGACAGAAUUAAGAGGAUGAUCAGCUGAAGACGAAGGACAGAUGGAAGAAUUAAAUAUUGAUAUGUACAGCAGUGAAAGCAGAGUGGGGUGUAGUAGUCCAUUUUGGGGUCGUCCUAACAUGAGUGAUCUGAGGAUCGUUCUUCUGGGGAAAAGCGUGUCAGAAAACAGCGAGGUGGGAAACUUCAUCUUGGGCCGAUCAGCAUUUGACAGUGAAGCUCCUCCAGGUGUUGUGGAGAGAGUCGGAGGAAGACUGAGGGACAGACACGUGACGCUCAUCAACAGUCCUCAGCUGCUCCACACAAACAUCUCAGAUGACCAGAUCACACAGACGGUCAGAGAGUGUGUGAGUCUGUCUGAUCCAGGACCUCAUGUGGUGGUUCUGCUCCUCCAACAUCAGCAGUGCUCAGCGGAAGAUCAAGAGCGUGUGGAGAAGCUGCAGGACUCUUUCUCUGAGCGUCUUUUUCAACACACCAUGGUGCUCAGCACACAAGAGUCCACUGAACCCAAUGAGAUCCUGCAGAAAAUCAUCCAGACGUGCUCAAACAGACACUUCAGUCUUCAGAGAAGCAGCUCUGCUGAUGAUCUUCUGGAGGCCUUUGAGGACAUCGAGCAGAGCAAUGAUGGACGGUACCUGAUUUGUGCUCAAUAUGAAGCUUCACAGUGUUUUACAGUGGAUAAUCAGAUCACAAGAAGAGACUGUGAGAAGCUGAAUGUGGUAGUGUGCGGGAGCAACGGCUCGCUGAAAUCUUCCAUCUCAGAGCUGAUACCACAGCACACAAUCAGAAGAUCAGGGAGUGUGAGCACAGACGUGGAUCUUUAUGGUCAUCAGAUCAAUGUGCUGGAGCUUCCAGCUUUGUUCAAGACUGAGCUCUCGGAGGAGGAAGUGAUGCGACAGACUCUCGACUGUGUGUCUCUCUGUCAACCUGGCGUUCAUGCUUUUCUCUUCAUUAUUUCCGAUGCUCCACUGACCGAUGAGGACAAAGCAGAAAUGGAGGUGAUUCAGAGGGUUUUCAGCUCCAGAAUCAACAAACACCUCAUAACCCUCAUCAUGCAGAAUUCAGAGCAUCAGACAGCUGAACUCAAUGACGAAACACAGGCUGUCACUGAGAGUUUUGGAGGACGACAUCAUAUCUUUGGUCCCACCACUCAGGUGUCCAUGUUGAUGGAGAACAUUGAGCAGAUGCUGGAAGAAAACAGGGAAGAGGUUUACUCAACAGACACGUUUCUUGAGGCACAAAUGAAAAAACUGCUCCACUAUGAAGACAUGAAGAAGAAACUUCAUUCACUAGAGACAAAUUUACUGUCGCAAGGUCCAGUGGAGACUGAAAAUGAACUGAGGAUAGUCCUGUUGGGAAAAAGUGGAGUGGGUAAAAGUGCAACUGGAAAUACCAUCUUAGAAAGAUAUGUGUUUAAAGCAGAAACAUCUCAAGAGUCUGUUACUCAAGAGAGUCAAAGCGAAACUCGAGAAAUCAAUGGUCGACACAUUACUGUAAUCGAUACGCCAGGACUGUUUGAUACUGAACUCACUAAUGAAGAAAUCCAGAAAGAAAUCAGCAACUGCAUCUCCAUGAUUCUGCCUGGACCACACGUGUUCAUCAUCGUGCUCAAUUUAGGACAGAGAU
Molecule: non-coding RNA, 1703 nt
Organism: Danio rerio (zebrafish)
Lineage: Eukaryota; Metazoa; Chordata; Actinopteri; Cypriniformes; Danionidae
Source: Ensembl